Molecule: long non-coding RNA, 720 nt
Filed under: Meleagris gallopavo (turkey)
Lineage: Eukaryota; Metazoa; Chordata; Aves; Galliformes; Phasianidae
Description: lncRNA (ENSMGAG00000019236.1)
Source: RNAcentral
GUACUUCUACACAAAGGCCGCUGUAAGUCUGAGAUAUAUGAACUAAUUAUAAGGUUUAGAAUUGUUGUUAAGACCCAGCAUCCAUAGCUGGAGCCAGCACAGUAGAGGAGCCUGUGCAUGGGUAUGGAGCACUUCAAGGGCCCAGCCCAGGACAGCAGGGUGUGGGGGCAAGCCCCUAUCCUGGCAGAGAUCUGGUUGUUGGUUCUGGUUGGGUUCAUUGUGUUUCAGCUGGCUGAGAGCAGAUGAGAUCCAUCUCAUGUCUUCCCCUGCACGAUCCAGCACUGCUUUGCUGAUCUUGGAUGUGUGGAGGGAAAAGAUGGCCUAGUUUGACCAGAAAUGCACUCUGCUCUGCCCCAGGCCAUGCUGCUGGCAUGAUGCAGGACACGGAGCUGUGCUGGAGAGCCUGAGCAGCCCCAGUGAGCGUACCAGAGGCUACUGAAGGAAGAAAGUGGAAUUCUGGGCAGUUCAGAGCUGUUGAGGAGAACCUCGCAAUGCUCAACAAUUCCCGAGCAGCCUGCUGUAAAUCUUGUAGCCAGUUCAGCUUUCAGAGGGAGCCAGAAGAGAUUUGUAGAGUUUGGCAGUAGUGUCGUUCCUGAGGAAGACUGGAGAAAGAAAACUCAGAAUCACGGCUAUGAACAGCUCUUUAGAAAUGAAUGGCUAACUCGAGGAAGUCUUGCAGUGAGCAAAUCUUUGCUUGAAAUAGUUUGGGACCAAGUGUAA